UACGAAGGGGGCUAGCGUUGCUCGGAAUUACUGGGCGUAAAGGGAGCGUAGGCGGACAGUUUAGUCAGAGGUGAAAGCCCAGGGCUCAACCCUGGAAUUGCCUUUGAUACUGAUUGUCUUGAGUAUGGGAGAGGUGUGUGGAACUCCGAGUGUAGAGGUGAAAUUCGUAGAUAUUCGGAAGAACACCAGUGGCGAAGGCGACACCCUGGACUCAUACUGACACUGAGGUGCGAAAGCGUGGGGAGCAAACAGG
Molecule: ribosomal RNA, 253 nt
Filed under: uncultured bacterium
Lineage: Bacteria
Description: partial 16S ribosomal RNA
Rfam family: Bacterial small subunit ribosomal RNA
Source: RNAcentral